UGAGGAAUAUUGGUCAAUGGACGAGAGUCUGAACCAGCCAAGUAGCGUGAAGGAUGAAGGUUCUAUGGAUUGUAAACUUCUUUUAUACGGGAAUAAACGAAUCCACGCGUGGAUUUUUGCAUGUACCGUAUGAAUAAGGAUCGGCUAACUCCGUGCCAGCAGCCGCGGUAAUACGGAGGAUCCGAGCGUUAUCCGGAUUUAUUGGGUUUAAAGGGAGCGUAGAUGGGUUGUUAAGUCAGUUGUGAAAGUUUGCGGCUCAACCGUAAAAUUGCAAUUGAUACUGGCAGUCUUGAGUACAGUUGAGGUAGGCGGAAUUCGUGGUGUAGCGGUGAAAUGCUUAGAUAUCACGAAGAACUCCAAUUGCGAAGGCAGCUUACUAACCUGUAACUGACAUUGAUGCUCGAAAGUGUGGGUAUCAAACAGGAUUAGAUACCCUGGUAGUCCACACGGUAAACGAUGAAUACUCGCUGUAGGCGAUAUACAGUCUGCGGCCAAGCGAAAGCAUUAAGUAUUCCACCUGGGGAGUACGCCGGCAACGGUGAAACUCAAAGGAAUUGACGGGGGCCCGCACAAGCGGAGGAACAUGUGGUUUAAUUCGAUGAUACGCGAGGAACCUUACCCGGGCUUAAAUUGCAACCGAAUAUGGCGGAAACGCUAUAGCUAGCAAUAGCGGUUGUGAAGGUGCUGCAUGGUUGUCGUCAGCUCGUGCCGUGAGGUGUCGGCUUAAGUGCCAUAACGAGCGCAACCCUUGCCGAUAGUUACUAACAGGUUAUGCUGAGGACUCUGUCGGGACUGCCAUCGUAAGAUGUGAGGAAGGUGGGGAUGACGUCAAAUCAGCACGGCCCUUACGUCCGGGGCUACACACGUGUUACAAUGGGGGGUACAGAGGGCUGCUACCACGCAAGUGGAUGCCAAUCCCAAAAACCUCUCUCAGUUCGGAUUGAAGUCUGCAACCCGACUUCAUGAAGCUGGAUUCGCUAGUAAUCGCGCAUCAGCCACGGCGCGGUGAAUACGUUCCC
RNAcentral lists this ribosomal RNA (1019 nucleotides) under uncultured organism. RNAcentral's name for it is "bacterial SSU rRNA". It matches the Rfam family "Bacterial small subunit ribosomal RNA", at positions 355 to 1375 of the family's 1533-position model. The record is from RNAcentral.